UUUAUUAAGAGUUUGAUCCUGGCUCAGGACGAACGCUGGCGGCGUGCCUAACACAUGCAAGUCGAGCGAGAAACUUAAGAAUGAUCCUUCGGGUGAAUGAUUAAGUGGAAA
RNAcentral lists this ribosomal RNA (111 nucleotides) under Oscillospiraceae bacterium. RNAcentral's name for it is "partial 16S ribosomal RNA". It matches the Rfam family "Bacterial small subunit ribosomal RNA", at positions 1 to 116 of the family's 1533-position model. The record is from RNAcentral. Lineage: Bacteria; Bacillati; Bacillota; Clostridia; Eubacteriales; Oscillospiraceae.